This 83-nucleotide microRNA precursor is filed under the name Bombyx mori (domestic silkworm). RNAcentral describes it as "mir-2807 microRNA precursor family". It matches the Rfam family "mir-2807 microRNA precursor family". Lineage: Eukaryota; Metazoa; Arthropoda; Insecta; Lepidoptera; Bombycidae. The record is from Rfam by way of RNAcentral.
UUAACUCAUAUUUGUAUGGAAUGGGAUAGUUUGCCUAUGUCUGCCGCUAGGGGCGCUGUUUCAAUUGCAUACAAAUUUAGUUA